RNAcentral lists this ribosomal RNA (681 nucleotides) under uncultured organism. Its description in RNAcentral is "SSU rRNA". It matches the Rfam family "Bacterial small subunit ribosomal RNA", at positions 779 to 1474 of the family's 1533-position model. The record is from RNAcentral.
UAGAUACCCUGGUAGUCCACACGGUAAACGAUGAAUACUCGCUGUUUGCGAUAUACUGCAAGCGGCCAAGCGAAAGCGUUAAGUAUUCCACCUGGGGAGUACGCCGGCAACGGUGAAACUCAAAGGAAUUGACGGGGGCCCGCACAAGCGGAGGAACAUGUGGUUUAAUUCGAUGAUACGCGAGGAACCUUACCCGGGCUUAAAUUGCAGAUGAAUUACGGUGAAAGCCGUAAGCCGCAAGGCAUCUGUGAAGGUGCUGCAUGGUUGUCGUCAGCUCGUGCCGUGAGGUGUCGGCUUAAGUGCCAUAACGAGCGCAACCCUUGUUGUCAGUUACUAACAGGUUCCGCUGAGGACUCUGACAAGACUGCCAUCGUAAGAUGUGAGGAAGGUGGGGAUGACGUCAAAUCAGCACGGCCCUUACGUCCGGGGCUACACACGUGUUACAAUGGGGGGUACAGAGGGCCGCUACCACGCGAGUGGAUGCCAAUCCCCAAAACCUCUCUCAGUUCGGACUGGAGUCUGCAACCCGACUCCACGAAGCUGGAUUCGCUAGUAAUCGCGCAUCAGCCACGGCGCGGUGAAUACGUUCCCGGGCCUUGUACACACCGCCCGUCAAGCCAUGGGAGCCGGGGGUACCUGAAGUGCGUAAAGGGGAGGAGCGCCCUAGGGUAAAACUGGUGA